Long non-coding RNA from Amphiprion ocellaris (clown anemonefish), 2494 nucleotides. RefSeq lists it as uncharacterized. The transcript is spliced from 5 exons. Lineage: Eukaryota; Metazoa; Chordata; Actinopteri; Pomacentridae. The record is from RefSeq and is a predicted model, not a curated record.
GACUCAUCAGAUUCUGAAUUUUAAAAGCUGCUGAAUUUCUUACUUUGAAUCUUUUUUGCAUCAAAAUUACGUAUGUGAAUUUUUUAUGCCUGAAUUUAGCUCAUCAAAAUUCUAAAAACCAGUUAAAAAUUCAAUGUCUUCAAAAUUCACCAUCAAAAAAUUCAAUGUUCAAAAUUCGCCAUCAAAAAAUUCAAUGUUCAAAAUUCGCUGUCAAAAAAUUCGCUGUUCACAUCCGGGGGACUCAGGCGUAAACAAUCGAUCCUGGCCAAAAUCGAACCAACGCCCAGCCAAUCACGUGGCGCUCCUCCGGUCAUGUGACGCAGACGGUUCACCUCACAAGACCGGGGUCAACCACAGCUACCAGCAUGAACGACGGCGCUUCACAACACCGUCUGAACUGACCAGUCUGGUGAAAUUCUGGACUGGAUGGGAGACUCUACCAAGAACUCUCUCUACAGAAGUAGUGAAUGGCAGAUACCUGACAGCCUCCACCUGCUAUGAGACCUUACAUUCCCAGGACAUUACAAGGACUACACAUCAUUUAAGACUGACAUCCUGGCCUGUAUUUGCACUUGCCAGUCAAGAUAUGUUAGUAAGGCAGCAUCAGGAGACAAACAUGGAGGAAAUAUGAGAACAGAGAGAACCCAACCAGCAGGUCACAGUUUAUCAUCAUCUAAUCAUCUCCUGAAGUCGAUAUGGUCCCUCUCUAUCUCCCCACACAUCCACCAACCACUGGAACACAUCUCCAAAGUUCUGCCGGGCCAGCUCAGCUUCCCCUCAGAAGAAGUGCCGCCACCCGCCAGAUGAAGGAGCCUUUUGAGAGGCAGCUGGCAUCGUGAUUGGACUGUACUUUGGUCUGUUCCAAUCCAGCUUCAGCUCCAGAGACGGCAGGCGGGACGAGUCAACGGAGGCCGGGUGGACGAAGGCAUGCAGCUGAGUACAAUCCAGAAAACAACAGAGGAGGAGUGCAGUGGCCCAGAGCCAGAACAACCAGAGUAGCAUGACCAAAGAACUACAGACUCUUCACAACCUGCUCAAACUCUUGGUACAGGACCUCACCACACGGGUCAAGAAGGUUUCCGUCUCAUUUCUACUCUGAAGCUCACCUUCUCCUGCUCAAACUGCUGACAAAUGUUUCUUCUGCUCUAAAGUCUAGUCUCCAGAACUUCCUAAAAACUCUCAAAGUCUCUUCUGCUGCAGGUUGCUUUGUAGAACUGUUCCAGAAAACCUCACUAAACCACAUGGAGGGGCCUCAAGAUAGUCGUCCAAAUGAAACCGUACAAAAACCAAACUAGCACAACCCAAACACUAAAGUCUCCUGCAGCCUACCAGAGAACCUCUGAGAACAGAGAAUCAGGACAGGAACUCUUACCUUCUGGACAACCAACGCUGGUUCUCAAACAAGAAUACAGAAUGUGUCUGACCAAAAACCUCUAAAGACUCACUACAGCCAAGAUAAAGACACAACUCAGCUGCAACAAAUCCACUAAUCACGGCACACAUUAGCACCAUGUGCUAACUGUGGCUAAAGAACCACAUUUACCAAGACAACUAUCCAGUACAAAGCCCUAAAACACACCAAGAAACACAUUAAAGACGAUUUUACUGCUGGAAGCUGCAAGCCAACGCCUAAAGCACAAACUAAAGCAAUGGAGCCAAACCCGGUUCAGUGGUGAAGACAAGCAGAGGAAAUGUUUGUCUGCAGCUCAAUAAAGCAGGAAGACACUGAGCUGCUCAGGUGUUCCUGAUAACACCAAGCAGCCACCUGGACAGCCAAUAGGAACACAGCUUACUGGAAGUCCAGAGGGCUGGCUUAGUGAAGGAAAUUUAGUUUAAAGUUGAAGCAGAAAGUUAACAAAGAAAAUUGAAAACCACCUUCUGAUACCUGAAAUCUCUUGAGUUUUCACACAAAGAACACCUGAACAUGUCAAACUGGUUCCAUAGUAGAACCAUCAUUGUAAAAACGUCAUAGUAUGGUGUGUUGCUCAAAAAACAUUAGGACCCGGCUGUCAGGGGACAAACAUGUAAGAAACAUGAGAACAGAGAGAACCCAACCAGUAGGUCACAGUUUAUCAUCCCCCAGUCAUCUCCUGAAGUCCAUAUGGUGAGAGACAUCAGUAUCUGGUUGUUAAUUUACCAGAGGAUGCUUAUAAUCAUGCUGAUGUGGUCUGUACUCUACAGUAUUUUAGUGACUCAAUAAAUGCCUAAGUCAACCCGCCCAGCCAGCAGGCAGAUGGGUCCCCCCACAUAAAGAGCCGGGUUCUGCUCGAGGUUUUUUCCCUGUUAAAAGGGUGUUUUCCUUGCCACUGUCGCCUUUUGGCUUGCUCUGGGGGUCAGGCAUAUUAGUUCUGUAAAGCGUCUCGAGACAAUUUGACUGUAAUUGGUGCUAUAUAAAUAAAAUUGAAUUUAAUUGAAUUGUUUUUUUAAAUGCUUUUUAGUUUUUAUUAAACAUUUAAGAGCCUAUAUGUAAUCAAUAAAUGGCCUUUGUCUAUCU